AACGAACGCUGGCGGCGUGUUUAAGACAUGCAAGUCGCACGGGAUAAGACAUGUAGUAAUACUUGUUUUAUUUAGUGGCGCACGGGUGAGUAACACGUGAAUUACAUGCCCUAUAGUGGGGAAUAGCCCAGGGAAACUUGGAUUAAUACCCCAUGGUAUCGAAAGAUUAAAGGUGGCCGCAAGGCUGUCGCUAUAGGAUUGGUUCGCGCCCUAUCAGCUUGUUGGUGAGGUAACGGCUCACCAAGGCAAUGACGGGUACCUGGUCUGAGAGGACGAUCAGGCACACUGGAACUGAGACACGGUCCAGACACCUACGGGUGGCAGCAGUCGAGAAUAAUUCACAAUGGGGGCAACCCUGAUGGUGCAACGCCGCGUGGAGGAUGACGGUCUUCGGAUUGUAAACUCCUGUCAUCUGGGAGAAAGACCUGACGGUAAAUAGCCGGCAGGGUUGAUAGUACCAGAAGAGGAAGGGACGGCUAACUUCGUGCCAGCCGCCGCCGUAA
Molecule: ribosomal RNA, 503 nt
Filed under: uncultured bacterium
Lineage: Bacteria
Description: partial 16S ribosomal RNA
Rfam family: Bacterial small subunit ribosomal RNA
Source: RNAcentral